RNAcentral lists this ribosomal RNA (140 nucleotides) under Wolbachia endosymbiont of Drosophila malagassya. Its description in RNAcentral is "partial 23S ribosomal RNA". It matches the Rfam family "Bacterial large subunit ribosomal RNA", at positions 1 to 140 of the family's 2925-position model. Lineage: Bacteria; Pseudomonadati; Pseudomonadota; Alphaproteobacteria; Rickettsiales; Anaplasmataceae. The record is from RNAcentral.
AGUGAGCGCGAUAAGGGCAUUCGGUGGAUGCCUUGGCACCAGGAGGCGAUGAAGGACGUAGCACGCUGCGAAAAGCUACGGGGAGCCGCGAGCAGGCUUUGAUCCGUAGAUAUCCGAAUGGGGCAACCCACCCGCAAGGG